This 272-nucleotide ribosomal RNA is filed under the name uncultured bacterium. Its description in RNAcentral is "partial 16S ribosomal RNA". It matches the Rfam family "Bacterial small subunit ribosomal RNA", at positions 524 to 796 of the family's 1533-position model. The record is from RNAcentral.
GACAGAGGGUGCAAACGUUGCUCGGAAUCACUGGGCGUAAGGGCGUGUAGGCGGAGAGGUAAGUCGGGCGUGAAAUCCCCAAGCUCAACUUGGGAACUGCACUCGAAACUACCUUUCUUGAGUGUCGGAGAGGAAAGCGGAAUUCCUGGUGUAGAGGUGAAAUUCGUAGAUAUCAGGAGGAACACCAGUGGCGAAGGCGGCUUUCUGGACGAUAACUGACGCUGAGACGCGAAAGCGUGGGGAGCAAACAGGAUUAGAAACCCCCGUAGUCC